Molecule: long non-coding RNA, 2356 nt
Organism: Pogona vitticeps (central bearded dragon)
Lineage: Eukaryota; Metazoa; Chordata; Lepidosauria; Squamata; Agamidae
Source: RefSeq, a predicted model, not a curated record
UGGAGGAGGUGGAGAAAGGAAGUCUGUGCUCCUGCUGAGACUGGAUGACUGUGUGAAUAGCAGGGAAAAAGCAGCACACACCAGCUGGGAUUUGCAUCAGAUUGAGAAGAAUCCUUAUCCCUCACCUGGGUCCAUUUGUGGAGCUUCCUGAGAUGAAAUGGACUUCCCUCUGAAUUGACCAGAGUUGAAGCUGGAACCACAUAGAGUCUUAUUAGCACGCCAUGCUUUGGUUCCAAGGCUCUCUUAGGAUCUCUUCAAUCUGGGGAAGUCAUCAGCCUACAUUGGCAUAAUAUUAUGCAACAGGAUUUUGGCCAUUGAAUGUAUACGUAAGCUGCAUUAAAAUGAAUACCGAAUAAGUAAAGACCCAAGAUGGAUGAGUAACAUGGUUAAUUCUCUGGAAAUUGAUAAGAAAAGGGGCUGGACAAAAAGGCUGCUUUUCAUAGUACGUAUGCCCUUUUACAGCUGCCAUUCCUUUCCAUGGGUCUUAUGAAGGAGAUCCACCUGGUGGGUUUUGACUGUUCUCUGCUGGGCUUCUUUCUGACUGCUGAACAGGCUCUCAGCUGUUCUAUUAGCAAGAUAAGUGUCAAAGUGCAUGGAGGGGGGGGGCUCUAAAUCAACAGCUGCUCCAUUCCACUAGGACACAAAGGUCAAUUUGCACAACCAUCUCAAGGCAGCCUUUAAGUAAGAAAAAUGCUUUUGACCUAGUCAGCCUUUUCCUAAGUGUGAACAUGCCUAGUGCCACUUUUGCUGUUUAGGCUAAAUGCAGAGCCACAAGGGGUCUGAAUGGUGAGGAUGACUGCAAUUGUUCAAUGUCAGUUUGAACUGUCUAGUACUUCACAUCCCAAUAUUCAGAGUGAGUCAGCAGACAAACCAACUUUCUUCCAGGAUGUAACACUGUCUUGAGGCACAGGAUGUGAGAAAGAGGCAGGAAAUUAGAAGACAUUUCCACCACCACCCCUCAGUCCCAAUCCAACAUGCAUGCAUUUAUAUGUAUGCUGCUAACCUCCAAAAAGGUGGAGGGGAGAAUGCAGUGAAUGUUAAGUAGCUGGAUGGAUUCUACGGUGUGUUUUUUCUUCUAUUGUUUAGCAACACAGACAUUUGGUCCAUUCAGCCCAGUCAAUCCUCACUAGAAGCAGCACUUCAGAGUUUGAAACAGGACUCUUUCCUAGAUCCUCAUGGAGAUCCUUCAAAUGCUCAACAGGUCUCCCAUCCAAGUACUAACCAGAUCUGGUUCUGCUUAGCUUACAAUAUGAGACAGGGUCAUAUGGUGACACUAUCCUAGUUCAAAGUGGUAUGGUUAUAGGUGAAAAAAACUGGGCACCACUUCCUAUUGAUUUAUUCGAUGCAAAAUUCUUUUAUGGACAGAUUUGUUUCAUACCAAUAACCAUCCCAUCUAGUUUUCUUUCAAUCUCCUAAUGGAAAAGCCCAGGACAUGGUGCCAAGUGUGCUUUCUUCUUUGGAUGGUUUAAUAUUCUAUGUCAGUGGUUGCCAACAUUUGGUAACUCUGGUGUUCUUGGACUGCAGUUCCAAGAAAAUUUCCCCACUAGCUGUGCUGGCCAGGCUUUCUGGGAGGAAAAGUCCAAGAACUCUUGGGUUUCCCAAGGUUGGGAGUUAAUGUUCUGUGCAAGGCAUAUCAUUGCUAUAUGAGUGGUAUUACAAAGUACUCCGCAUGCAUUAUAAGGAUAUUUGAGCCAUUUUUGUUUUUAGUAAGUGGGAUACCACCACUCCUUUGCACUUCCUUUGAAACAUCAUAACAUUUAAAAAUCCAUAUGUUUUUUAGAGUUAUCAUUCCUUAGGCACUUCAAUGUGUGUUAUAUUUGUGAAGGUUAAUAAUGGCUCUAAGGUGGAGAUAAGGCAUGAAGAUAUACUAAAGCAGCUUUGUCUGUAGCAGCACUAUACAGUGAGUGCAGAUCAUACAUAAAACAUUCAACAUGUUGUUUAUUUAACUAAGAGCCCAUGCCAGACAAGUCAGACUGAACAGAAUACUGUAGAAAUUAUUGCCUUAAGUGGCUGUUUCCUGAUUUCUUAUUGACAAACUGCCCAAUAGAGUUACUGCUUGAAUGUAAUGGAAAGGAAGUCUUUUACAACUUCAUUUGUCAAUGAUGUAGCCAAAACUCUUCACCACUACAACGGAAAAAUAUUUGGAAGAUCAGGAUUAUUUGCACUCUGAAGUCAGGUAGCAGGAUCAUAUAUUGCUGGUUUCUUUUCUGAAAGGUACACAGUGUGGUGUAUUGGAUAGAAUUACAUCUUACGACUCAACUAAGGAAAUUCAUUGGGGGAAAUGGAACUGGCAAAACUACUCCUUAAAUUUCUCACUUACCAUGAAUGCCCUAUUACAGUGGGGUCUCUACUUAAG